GGGCCGUUAGCUCAACCGGUAGAGCAGCGGACUCUUAAUCCGCGGGUUGGGGGUUCGAGUCCUCCACGGCCCA
Molecule: transfer RNA, 73 nt
Filed under: Pseudomonadota bacterium
Lineage: Bacteria; Pseudomonadati; Pseudomonadota
Also listed under: 3 other names
Description: tRNA-Lys
Rfam family: tRNA
About the family: Transfer RNA (tRNA) molecules are approximately 80 nucleotides in length. Their secondary structure includes four short double-helical elements and three loops (D, anti-codon, and T loops).
Source: RNAcentral